Molecule: long non-coding RNA, 2674 nt
Filed under: Nicotiana tabacum (common tobacco)
Lineage: Eukaryota; Viridiplantae; Streptophyta; Magnoliopsida; Solanales; Solanaceae
Description: long non-coding RNA (NTAB_LNC017684)
Source: RNAcentral
CUGAUAGUCUGAUUAUACGUUACACACUUACACUUAGACCUUAGUCACUUACUUCCCAUUUCCCAAAACCUAAAUCAAAAAUUAGAUUUAGGGUUCUUCCUUAGCUCUGUCUCUGUUGCGACUGCUGCGAGCCUGCGAUUGCUGCCUUCUUACUCAGCUCUGUGCGAUUGCUGCCUUCUUCCUCAGCUCGGUUGUGAUGCCUUCUUCCUCAAGUUAGUGCGACUUCUUCUGAGUUCUAAGUUGAGUUAGGUCCAGUGUCGUUUUGCAGUUUUGCUCACUGUUAUUGUCAUUUUGGCCGAACUUUCUGAUAGAAUUUUUGCUGAAAAAGGUGUUCAAGAUUUCUUUUGUUGAUUUUUUAUUAAGAUAAGGCUUCUUUAUUUGUGUUUUAGUUCUUUUUUUCCUUGGAAUAAUUUUGAACAAUUCUUUUCCCUUUUAUUGUUGCAAAAAAAUGUGAUUGAGAAAACUCUAGUAUAUGAAAGCUCAAAGUCAAGUUUAAGUUUAUGAAGAAAGAAAAUGUCUUAGUCUAUGGCGUCGUGGUAAUUUUGUUAAUCAUAUCACGUUAACUCCAUUUUCCCGAUUUAGAUGAGAAUGUUCCUGUUAUAUCUGGAUUUGAGGUUUUUUCUUAGGGUGGUGUUUGUCUCCACUAAUAAAAAAUCAAUCUUUUUUUAGAAAACUAUAUUCAAUCAACAAGCAACAACAUCUCUAAAGUUAAGGACAUUUCAAUUAGUACUUCCUCUUUUGCUGUUGUGUUCUGUUUGCACUGAAGGCCUCCCUGUUCUCUAUGUGCUUGUUCUCUAUUCUUGGUUUCAUUUAUAGUGUAGUUUCAAAUAUCCUCUUUAGUGAUCACCAAAAUGUUACACUAGUUUCUUUUGAUGACUUUGCAGUUUGCAGCAUUUCCAUGCUUGUUUAUUGCAUGAUAACUGAGAAUAUAUCCUCAAAUACUCGGGCACCUUCUUGUAACGGUGGCAUGAAUCCUUGAACGUAAAAGAUAAGAAUGGGAUGAUGUCUUCUCAAGUGUAUCCCAACUACGACGAAGAAAUGUGUAAAUUUUUUGUGAGGGAUAUAGGAGGCUCUAACUUGCACUAACUAGUUCACACGCAUUCUCCAUAUGUCUAUCGUGUGUCAAAUCUCAUCUGAAUUGGCCUUACUUCUUGGGUUUUAGUGCAGAGACUGCAUAGUUCAUAGCUUUUUAUUUGCCAAAGGAGUAGGCAAAAGUUGCUCACCUAAAUUAUGUUCAAGAUGUAGUAUGGUAUGUUCUUGGUCUCUCGGUUGCUUAGUUAAACUCUUAUUUAUUUUGAAAUUAGUUUCAAGACCUGCUUUAUGAACUAUUAGCCUGUAGAUUUUGAGCAUUUAGCUAGGACUAGGAUAUAUAUUUGAGAAAAUUGUAAGGAGAGUACGAAAAUACUGGCUAUCAAGUACGAGAGAGGGCUAAAUGCUUGUGAAGUUGCACCAUAUUACAAAGUGUGGUGAGUUAAAAGAAUUACAAAUGACAUUAUAUGCAUAGAUGAUCGGAUUACUCACCGAGGUUGGGUUAUUUUUAUCUUUUAAAUAAAAUUUUCAUUGUGUACCUUUGAUUGAGUGCGCUUCAUUUAAUUCAAUUUCUGUUACCGCAAUUAAUCCUCAGCUAGGAGUAAUUGAUGUGUACUUUUGGUCCUGUGUUGGAGAAAAAUGAUGAUUUUUUAUCAUUCAUUAAACAACGUCAUUAUCAUUAGAGUGAUAUUGUCAGCAAAUAAACAAUGGCAUGAGAACUGACAAUAUCACUAUGCCGUUGUCUUUCUCUGUUGCCUCCUUUAAGAGAACUCUAUCUCAAAAUGACAAUUUGCUGGGCUGGACGAACAACAAAUAAAUUUCAGCCUUGUUUAUUGCAUAAGAACUGAGAAUAUCGUCUCUGUUAUGUGCAAUGGCUGUUGGACCAAUAUCUUCUUUUCUAUUCAUUCAUUAUGACAAUCUAUUUCCUUUUUCCAGAGAAGCAUAAAUUUUUUUGAACCGUUUAAAAUCGAAAAAAUAAACCGAAAAUAAUUAAACCGAACUUUGAAAAAAUCGCACCAAAUCGUAAAUACUUUGGUUUGAUUUGGUUAUUAAUAUUACAAAAUCAAAAACCGAUAAACCAAACUGUACUUUCAUAAUAACCGACCAAACCGACCGACGCCCACCCCUAGUGUGAUGUAGUCGACUUGAGCUUUAUAUAGUCGAUCAUCAUCCUUGCAUAUGUUAGUAGUAAUCCUUGAUAUAGUUCCUGCAUAUGUUAGUAGUAAUCCUUUCUCCUCAUUUGGCAUCAACCAAAAGAGGAAAAAUACGUAAUAACAUUAGCAGUUUAGAUUAUCCUGAUAAUUAUAGUCAUCCAAAACACAAAAAAUAAGCAUCCAACCAUAAAACAUCCAAAAAAAAAAACUAAGAUUGUCCAAAACACCCAACAACCAGAUCAGUGAUGGAGAAAGUAGGUAAAAGUGUUGCAAAUGGUUUCCUUGAAACGGUCAAAGCUUGUGUUCGUAGUGACUGAGAUCUUAUCAACGCGAUCAUGGACUUCCUUGAAUGUUUUUACUGCCUUUUCUGCAGUCUUUUGUAACGUGACUCGCAUUUUUGACAUAUCUGAGCCUGUCUCUUUUUAGAUAUCAUGGAUAUCUCCAACUGUGGAUUGAGUGGCCAGGAAGAGGUCCUUGAUGACAUUCACCAU